ACGUAGGGACCAAGCGUUGUUCGGAAUUACUGGGCGUAAAGGGCGCGUAGGCGGCCUUCUAAGUCGAACGUGAAAUCCCCGGGCUCAACCCGGGAACUGCGUCCGAUACUGGAAGGCUUGAAUCCGGGAGAGGGAUGUGGAAUUCCAGGUGUAGCGGUGAAAUGCGUAGAGAUCGGGAGGAACACCUGUGGCGAAGGCGGCCGUCUGGGCCGACCCUGACGCUGAGGCGCGAAGGCGUGGGGAGCGAACGGGA
RNAcentral lists this ribosomal RNA (253 nucleotides) under uncultured prokaryote. RNAcentral describes it as "partial 16S ribosomal RNA". It matches the Rfam family "Bacterial small subunit ribosomal RNA", at positions 525 to 777 of the family's 1533-position model. The record is from RNAcentral.